CCCGGCGCCUGGACGAGUCCAAAGAGUUUUAGCUAGGGGAGGCGGACAGAAAAGUUGUUGUUGUUGUGGAAGAAUAGUCCCGGUCACUCAGUAAGCGUGUUCUUCAUCUUGGGAGCUGCUGAGCCCUGGACGAUGCUUUUAAGCCAAGAGCAAAGCUAUGCACCUGCAUAUUAUUGAAAACAGGUUUGAUCAGCUUAGUCGUCUGGAAGGCCAUCGGGUGGAGACACACCUUUUAUUAAAAUGACUUUUCAUGCGGAGGUGCCCACCAUCAGAAGUGGGGGGGCAGCCGGAUCAGUGCACCUAGGGAUGAGAUUGUACCGAAUUCCAAACGAGAUUCAGCUGUUGAGCAGAUAUGAGACAGCGCCAAUACUCUGCUGUGUAACUGCUCCAUAAAACACAUCAGCCAUCUAUUUUAGUAGAACCCACAGUUAAUGGAAACUGAAAUUCAUAAUUCUGCUGCCAGAACCAUCAGGAAGACAACCGCUGUUAUGGAACGGAAGACAGGAUUUUACAUAAGUGUCAUACAGAGAUUAUUUAAAGGAACAAUCCUUCCCUUAUCUUGGUAAAAAUGAAUGUGGAAGUGAUGUUCACCUUAUGUAAGUGAUUGUGGUUACCUGUUAAAGUAGUCUUCACUAUUUAUAAUACUGAUUGUAUAAAAUAUCUAUAUCUGCACACUUUAUCGCUUGCUAUCUAUUCUAAUAAAGCAAUAGGCCAU
Long non-coding RNA from Hyla sarda, 715 nucleotides. RefSeq lists it as uncharacterized. The record is from RefSeq and is a predicted model, not a curated record. Lineage: Eukaryota; Metazoa; Chordata; Amphibia; Anura; Hylidae. The transcript has 4 exons.